UGGUGGAGCGAUUUGUCUGGUUAAUUCCGAUAACGAACGAGACUCUAGCCUACUAAAUAGACCGCCGGGUACACGUCCCCGGCGGGACUUCUUAGAGGGACUGGCGGCUAAUAAGCCGCACGAGAAAGAGCAAUAACA
Molecule: ribosomal RNA, 138 nt
Filed under: uncultured eukaryote
Lineage: Eukaryota
Description: partial 18S ribosomal RNA
Rfam family: Eukaryotic small subunit ribosomal RNA
Source: RNAcentral